Long non-coding RNA from Oncorhynchus kisutch (coho salmon), 1514 nucleotides. RefSeq lists it as uncharacterized. The transcript is spliced from 2 exons. The record is from RefSeq and is a predicted model, not a curated record. Lineage: Eukaryota; Metazoa; Chordata; Actinopteri; Salmoniformes; Salmonidae.
AGUCGCGGCUGGUACUACAGAGAAGGACGAACUGAAAAUCGAAGGACCGAAAGCAUCCCCUUCCGGAUCUGUACAUGCUGGAGCUGCAGCGGCGGGACCAAUCCCAAAACUGGCUCGGGUGUUAGCAAUCAGAGCCUGGUUUGCACUAGCGAGCGCCUGGGCGGCGGUGGGGGUUGCUACCGCAGCGCCACUUCCAACCGCGUACAGCGGGCGCUCUGCUGUGGAAACCAGGCUCUGUCUAGUCCUGGCCUCAAUUGAAUUAUCCUCUUCGAUCUGAUUGUCGGCAUCAUCUUGCACGGGUCGACCAUCCAAAGAAAUGUUACUGAGAAAAGACAGCGCGGCUUGUCUCCUCCGAGGGUCUAUGCGUUUCCGCGUAUGCUCGAUACUGGAAUACUUGAUCUGAAGCGUGGUUGUGGAUGUGUUGCUGCUCAUGGCAGCCGCCAUGGUCCGCUUUCAGCUAUACGAAGCUGCGAGCAGCGGUUUUGUCAAGAUGACAUUAAAAGUGUGUAAAGAGUGCAUAUGUAGUUAGCAAAUGCUUGUCUUUUAAGUGCAAGCGUUACACUGACUAAACACAGGAUGGUCACGUGUGUGCAGUAUUGUGAAUUGUGGCAGCAGAAAAAUUGGACCAAUAAGCUUUCAGGGAUACGUAUGAAAGGUUUUUUUCCUCCCCUCUUCUAUGGAAUUACUUUUGUGCCUUUUUAAUAUCAAACAAACCUUUUGAAUUCGUGAAUUAAAUUCUUAAUGCAAACAAAAAUGAUACUGAAAGCAAAACAGUAACCCACAAGUGUUGAGGUCGAAUAAAUAACAUAGCAAGGAAAUCAUUUUGAAAGGCAAGAACAAAUACAUUGUAAAUGAAUGCGGGAAAAAAAUGGUUUUAAUUUAAACAUUUUCAAUGAUUGCAAAGAAACGCUUCCCUCUUUGUCUGCAAUAUUUUCUUUCUUUGGUUACGUUACCCUGCCCGCCCUUCGUUUUAGCUGCCUUUUUUUGGGGUUUAAAGGGAAGCGUAGAAGAUGCGUCUCUAUUGGUCAACUGGUUUUGGAAUGAUAGGUCAUCCUUGAUUUUUUUUCACUAUUUUUUAAAAUUAUUUAACUUUUCCAUUUUGGAUAAAAAAGGUCUCAGUGGCUACUAGAUAGCUAGACAGGGUAAAUGUACGACAAGAAGAGCAUCGGAAAACAUCCUAGGCGGUUGUGGCUGAUGACCUGUCUCCAUAGCUGAGAGAAGCCAAGGAGGAAUAUCACUUCAUUCCCAACAAUACUGCUAAUAUUUCUAACUGUACCAAUGAGAAAGAGUAGGGCAGACUUAUACAAUUACAAUGCAGAGAUGUUCUUGCUCUUUAGUGAAGUUCUGCCAAUCAUAUGUUGGAAACCAUUUAUCAAGGAAAACGAGUUGAACACUUUUUGUGGAAAUUGUAAUCUGUUUCUUGAACAGUGUUUCAUCUAAGGACAAUAAUAACUACUACCUGUAUCAAAAUGUACAAUAAGGGGUAUAUCCUUAAUAAAAUAAUUGAUGGUUAA